This is a small nuclear RNA of Callithrix jacchus (white-tufted-ear marmoset), 141 nucleotides long. Its record names the gene U4. It matches the Rfam family "U4 spliceosomal RNA". Rfam says of the family: U4 small nuclear RNA (U4 snRNA) is a component of the major U2-dependent spliceosome. The structure of U4 snRNA from yeast and human has been reported. U4 snRNA presents a k-turn RNA motif in the 5p-SL related to recognition of Snu13 protein. The record is from Ensembl. NCBI's taxonomy places the organism in Eukaryota, Metazoa, Chordata, Mammalia, Primates, Cebidae.
AGCUUUGCACCGUGGCAGUAUUGUAGCCGAUGAGGUUUAUCUGAGGCACAACUAUUGCUAAUUGAAAACUUUUCCCAAUACCCCGCCAUGACGACUUGAAAUAGAGUCGGCACUGGCAAUUUUUAACAGUCUCUACGGAGA